Non-coding RNA from Ceratotherium simum simum (southern white rhinoceros), 113 nucleotides. The record is from RefSeq and is a predicted model, not a curated record. NCBI's taxonomy places the organism in Eukaryota, Metazoa, Chordata, Mammalia, Perissodactyla, Rhinocerotidae.
GCUGUUCUCUUUCCCUUAAGGCCAGGUUCCUUUCCCAGUCGGGGAACCACACCAGCCGUCUGUUGGUUGUCAUACUGUGGUGGCUGGAUGUUGCUGUGACGCUGAAAGCUAUG